GGCGAAGCGCCGCUGAAGGCCGGGAGUAACUCUGACUCUCUUAAGGUAGCCAAAUGCCUUGCCGGGUAAGUUCCGGCGCGCAUGAAUGGAUCAACGAGGUCCCCACUGUCCUGACCAGGGGCCCCGUGAAGACACGGAGCCGGUGCACAGUCCGGCAACCCCCCGCAGGGCGAUAAGUCCCCGUGGAGCUUUACCGCAGCCUGGCGCUGGCCCCUGGGUUACGGUACGUAGCGUAGGUGGGAGCCCGUGAAGCUGUGCUCCCGGGCACAGUGGAGGCGGCAAUGAAACACCACCUAUCGUAACUCGGGGGCCUAACCCCCGGGUAGCCGGGGGGACAACGCUAGGUGGGCGGUUCGGCUGGGGCGGCACUCCCGCGAAAAGAUAACACGGGAGCCCAAAGGUCGGCUCAGGCGGGUCAGAGCUCCGCCGUAGAGUGCAAGGGCAAAAGCCGGCCUGACCGGACCCUUGAACACAAGGGGUUCGGACGGGAAACCGAGGCCUAGCGAACGCUCGUGCCCCCCUCGGUGGGGGCCGGGCAUGACAGAAAAGUUACCCCGGGGAUAACAGAGUCGUCGCGGGCGAGAGCUCCCAUCGACCCCGCGGUUUGCUACAUCGAUGUCGGCUCUUCCCAUCCUGGGAGUGCAGCAGCUCCCAAGGGUGGGGCUGCUCGCCCAUUAAAGGGGAACGUGAGCUGGGUUUAGACCGUCGUGAGACAGGUCGGACUCUACCCGCGGGGGGUGCGGGCCGCCUAAGGGGAAGCUGCCCUCAGUACGAGAGGAACGGGGCGGCGCGGCCUCUGGUUUACCGGUUGUCCUGGCGGGCAACGCCGGGCAGCUACGCCGCAAGGGGUAACCGCUGAAAGCAUCUAAGCGGGAACCCCUCCCCGAAAAGAGGCGGCCUGUCGCCACGGCUCUGCCGUGGCGGCACGGGCUCCCGUAGAAGACGGGGUUGAUGGGGCGGGGGUGUAAGCCCCAAGGGGUUGUCCCCGAGGGGUUCAGCCCGCCGCUCCCAAUCGCCCGACGCCGCAGUG
This 1030-nucleotide ribosomal RNA is filed under the name hot springs metagenome. RNAcentral's name for it is "bacterial LSU rRNA". It matches the Rfam family "Archaeal large subunit ribosomal RNA", at positions 1988 to 2987 of the family's 2987-position model. The record is from RNAcentral.